UAAUUUUAUAUCUUGUAGUGCUUUUGGGUUUAUGACUUUGUUUGCUGAUUGGAACUCUUAACGAGGGGGAGCCCGUGGAGGUGGAGUCGGCGCCAAGCAGCCAACAACAAAAAAUUAGUUUUGGACACAUUUGAAAGCCAAAAUGAGUCAAAAGAGUGCUGAUGCGUGGCAAAGGCCAGACAGGCGGAGAAGGAAGCGAGAAGAGGGCCCAGCCGAAGUUGAGGCACAGCACCGAGUAGAAGAAGCAGACGGCCAGCAGCAGAGGGCAGAAUGAAAUUCGAAAAAGGGGAGAAAUGAGAAAUGACAGACACGUCCGUUUUACACCCUCGCCGGGGCUGCCGGCAGAGUCAGGCCGCCGCAGCCAGCGUCGCCAAUUCCUGCGGCACGUACACACAACACACAUAUGCAUGUACAUACAUACAUACAUACAUAUGUACAUAUGUAUAUAAAUGACAGCGAGGUACAGUGAAUUUUAAAUAUGCACAUAUGCAGGCCCACUCAUCCGUCUGCUACAUUUUUCAUUUUAAGAUGGUUUUUUUUUUGCGAUAACAAAUUCGAAAUUGGUGACAGAAUAGCCACUGCAUGCGCCGCUGCCACGCCCCACAAACAGAGACACACAUGUGCAUGUGCAUGACUUGCGCGCAAGCCGUAGUUUUCGUGGGGAGGAUAUUAAGCAGCGUCAAAUGCGCCCCGCCCAAAGCAGUAGACACAUACAAGCAGACGUAUACAAAAAUGAAGUUAAAAAAAUGCCGGCCGGCUCGCUCAGGUAGGGAGAGGGAGCAAAAGAAAAGCUUUAACCCAACACACACACACACACAUAGAAGCAAACGGCGACAAAAGCGCUUCAACAGCUGCGUCUAACAAGAGGCGAGAGGGAGAGAGGGAUAGACAAAACCUAACGGAUCCGCCCCUCUCUCACUCCACCUCUUACUCAUCAUUUCUGCAAUCAAUGAAGAAGCGCAGUCAACAACAAAAAAAAACCAGUUAAGUGCUUUUCUACUCUCUUCUGCCUUCUGCUUCUUCUUGCAGAUUUCUUUUGGCCUGUGUCUGCCACAAUGGAUGGCGAAUUGAAAAGAAAUUGCCGGCCAACAAUUUAAGGGGAGGCGGACGGUGGGAGUGGAUGCGAAUUAAAAUAAAUAAAAUUAUACGCUCACCUUAA
Molecule: long non-coding RNA, 1159 nt
Organism: Drosophila subobscura
Lineage: Eukaryota; Metazoa; Arthropoda; Insecta; Diptera; Drosophilidae
Exons: 2
Source: RefSeq, a predicted model, not a curated record